RNAcentral lists this ribosomal RNA (253 nucleotides) under uncultured bacterium. RNAcentral's name for it is "partial 16S ribosomal RNA". It matches the Rfam family "Bacterial small subunit ribosomal RNA", at positions 524 to 776 of the family's 1533-position model. The record is from RNAcentral.
UACAGAGGGUGCAAACGUUGUUCGGAAUUACUGGGCGUAAAGCGCGUGCAGGCGGCCUUGCAAGUCGGACGUGAAAUCCCACGGCUCAACCAUGGAAGUGCACUCGAAACUGCAGGGCUAGAGUCCUGGAGAGGAAGGUGGAAUGCUUGGUGUAGAGGUGAAAUUCGUAGAUAUCAAGCGGAACACCGGUGGCGAAGGCGGCCUUCUGGACAGUGACUGACGCUGAGACGCGAAAGCGUGGGGAGCGAACAGG